AUGAUGACUGUAGAGGAGUUUGAAUCUGGAUGGCUGUUUCUGGUUUCUAGCUAUGGACUACAGGAAAACAGGUACAUGCAGGAUGUGUUUCACUGCAGGGAUAAAUGGGCCAAGCCGUAUCUUAGUUCUAAUUUUUGUGCCAAAAUGUCCAGCACACAAGGGAAUGAAUGCAUGAAUAACGUUCUUAAAACUUAUGUAUCACUAUCAGCACCGCUCAACAGAUUUGUGAUGCAGUAUAACAAGCUAAUAGCCUCUCGUUGCGAAGAAGAGGACUUUGAAAUGGCGCAUACAAAAAAGGAUGGCAAGGUGUUGCAUAGUAAUGUGCCCAACGAGAGACACGCCUCCAAUGUCUAUACUCGUGUUGUGUUCAAGUUGUUUUCUGUUGAGCUGUAUGAGGUAGGCAGUUACGUCGUGAAAGGUCCGAAUGUGGAUGGCCGUGUUGUCGUGCAACAUGUUGACUCAGAUCACCGUGCACACUGGUGCAAAGUAAGCUAUGUGGUUAUGGUUGACCGCGAAAGUGACACUUACAACUGCGAGUGUGCCAUGUAUGAGCACAUGGGGCUUCUCUGCCGGCACGCUCUGAGAGUAAUGAUUCAUGUUGGUGUUCUUCGCCUUCCGACUCAUUAUGUGAUGAAGCGGUGGACUAGAGAUGCCCGGGACAUUUUACCUGAUCAUAUCAAGAAUUAUCAGACAGAUUCAUACAUUGGGGUUUCCAAAACUUUCAGGCAUAAUAUUUUGUAUGUGCGUGCACUGCAGGUGGUAAAGGCAGGUAAUCUAUCAGUGCCUCUUUUCAAUCACGCAGUACAGAAGUUGCUCUCGCUUGAGAAAGAACUGAAAGCCAUGGCUGCUUCAGAAUCUGAGACUAGUCAGCCAAUUACAAAGAUUGGGAACAGCAAGGCUGCAUCACAAAACCCCAAUGUGCCCAACUUUAGUGAUGUUCAACCUGCUGAUCAUGUUACAGCUCUCUAUCCAGAGAAGAGACCAUAG
This 987-nucleotide ribosomal RNA is filed under the name Triticum aestivum (bread wheat). RNAcentral's name for it is "partial small subunit ribosomal RNA". Lineage: Eukaryota; Viridiplantae; Streptophyta; Magnoliopsida; Poales; Poaceae. The record is from RNAcentral.